GACGAACGCUGGCGGCGUGCUUAACACAUGCAAGUCGAGCGGUAAGGCCCUUUCGGGGGUACACGAGCGGCGAACGGGUGAGUAACACGUGGGUGACCUGCCUUUAGCUCUGGGAUAAGCCUGGGAAACUGGGUCUAAUACCGGAUAUGACCCUAUGGCGCAUGUUGUGGGGUGGAAAGCCUUGUGCGGCUAGGGAUGGGCCCGCGGCCUAUCAGCUUGUUGGUGGGGUGAUGGCCUACCAAGGCGACGACGGGUAGCCGGCCUGAGAGGGCGACCGGCCACACUGGGACUGAGACACGGCCCAGACUCCUACGGGAGGCAGCAGUGGGGAAUCUUGCGCAAUGGGCGAAAGCCUGACGCAGCGACGCCGCGUGAGGGAUGACGG
This 385-nucleotide ribosomal RNA is filed under the name uncultured bacterium. RNAcentral's name for it is "bacterial SSU rRNA". It matches the Rfam family "Bacterial small subunit ribosomal RNA", at positions 28 to 414 of the family's 1533-position model. The record is from RNAcentral.